GUGCUCAUAGUAACACAACCAUAACUCACAAUCCUAAGAGGCACAAAGCUCUGGCAAACACCUGCCAAUACCUCUACAAGGCUGGCUUCAGAGGGCGAACUCUUCCAGGCCCCGAGGAGUGCCCAGCCAAGCUUUGGGGAAAGACCCAGGAAUGGUUGCAGUAGUCCGUUAUCGUCUUGGCGGCAGACAUGUCUACAGAACAGUCGCUGAGAGCCACAUCCAGAUCCACAGGCCAAGAGAAAGAGUGACUGGGCCAAUGAGGGCCUUUCAAAAUCUCACAGCCCACCCCUGGUAAUGAUACACUUCCUCCCACAAGGCCACGCCCACUCCAAGGCCACACCUCCUAAUCCUUUCAAACCAUUCCACUCCCCGAUGACUAAGCAUUCAAAUAUAUGAGCAUGUGGAGGCCAGCCAUCCUCACUCAAACCACC
This 431-nucleotide long non-coding RNA is filed under the name Rattus norvegicus (Norway rat). RNAcentral describes it as "long non-coding RNA NONRATT001023". The record is from RNAcentral. Lineage: Eukaryota; Metazoa; Chordata; Mammalia; Rodentia; Muridae.